UCGCUGAUGCAACGCUGACACAAAGAUGCUGCCUCCAGUUCAUUUAACGACGCUCGCACAUUUGGACAGCAAGUAGCUCUUUCCUUUCCAUCCACCUUUUGAAGUUUGAAGCGAAGGUCGUCAGAAUUCAACACAAAUAUGAAUAUAGGGAGCAUGACCAAACAGAGCCUGCGACGACGUCCAUGAAGCCGUACAUGCCGUAGCAGAUCUGGAAGAGCAGGUCUUGGCGCUGCCAGCGCGCUGACGGGCUGAACGAGGACCACACCAGCCAGGAGAUGCUGGCCAUCAGGAAGAGGGAGCCCAGGAUGGCCGCCGCGAUCUGCACUUUCUCGAUCACCGUGAGCGAGAUGGCCUGCCACUGCCGGACCAAACAAACGCACACACUUUUGCAUCAAGUCCGGUCGAUGUCACACGCCCGGAUAGCCAUCUACCCCACCGUGAUUGGUCGGCUCAUCAGCUGCGCGUACGACACCGCGAAAGUGCCAUUCAUGUAAAAUUCGAGGGCCCCAUAUUGAGGUGGGGGCCACAAGGUAGCGUCUCGCGGGCCGCCAAUUUGAGACCCCUGACUUAAUACAACUGCAGCCUUGGGGAUGCAAGUGUUGUUUGGAGAAGGAUUGUCACAUCAUAUACGAGCCGCCUCGCUCUACGUGACAACCUUAAAAGCGAAGGCAGAAGAGAGGAACGAGUAACAUCCCCGCCGGCUCUAUCGCUCAAAGGCAUGCGGACCGUCCACUUAUCUCCCCUUUCAGAAACGCGCAGGCUUCGCACCUCGCCAGAUCCGUAUCUGGGUUUUGGCGGCGAGACAACACCCCCAAACGCCGGGCCGGCUGGCGAGGGACGAGGCCCGGCGUUAAGAGAUAAAACGGCGUUCAAUCAAGCUUUAUUGAGGAGCCGCGACGUAUCGAGGAGACGUCGGUAACGCGGCGGGGAGGAGGCCGUGGGAAACGCGCCGGGUUCGCCGCUGCUCUGCAUGCGCUGCAAAAUGUGCUGACUGCGUCGAGCAAUUGUGCGGGAAAGAGUUAAAAAAAUUUUUUUUUUAAGCGCACAUCAGCCUCUGGACCCCGUGUAAUUAAAAAGUGGGCGCUCGGAGGUGAAACGAUGCAGAGAGAUGCGGAAAGAGUAAUUAGCUUGUACGCCAUUAAAAAAACGCAACGAGCGUGAAAUGAUCCAGUCGGUCGCACGUUUUGCAUGAAGGCAAAGGGACACGUUAAUUGCGUUCCUUCGCAUUCUUCCGUCUCGGGCUGGCGCUCGCUUUGAGGCGCAUGCAACGCAGACUCACUCACAUAGUGGCGGUUUACAGCCGGCCGACGACAGCCGACUCUACACUCUCGUUUGCUGUCUCCCGCGGCACUCGUCGGGUCUGGCCCCGCCUUUUAAAGCCACAAACUCACAGAUACUACAGUGUUGAAUGUGAGGUCGAUGACACCCCCCACCCCACCCCACCCCGGUCGAGAAAAAUAAUACCCAGACAGCACAUACAUAUUUUGUAUUGGUAUUAUGCACAGAGCUUUAAAAUCCAUCUGUUUUCUUAGGCGCUUAUCCUCACAAGUGUUGCUAGAGUGCGUACAGUCGUUUGGUAUACUGACAUCAGCUUCUAAAGCUGUACGAAGAUGGCAAUGUUGUUGUGUUCUGUAUUUUAUAUCUAUGAUAAAUAAAGUUCUCGCGGGUUCACAGUCGUCGUCAGUAUUUUACAAAACAUUUUGCUGACAAAGUUGGACUUUCACAGAUACCAUGAGUCUGAAUCUUUAAAAAAAUAAUAAUUGGAUUCCCUCAAAACUGCAAUUGGCUGGCAACCAGUUCAGGGCAUCCCCCGCCUCCUGCCCGUUGACAGCUAGGAUAGGCUCCAGGGACCCUAGUGAGGAUAAGCGGCUAAGAAAAUGGAUGGAUGGUUUCCCUCAAAAAUGUAUUAUUCCUGUCAUAGCAAAACUUCCUUUGUCCUCAUAAAUUUUACUAAUUCGACCGUGUACAAUUAUGACUGUCUUCAUAAAUUUGACAACUCAACACAUGUAAAAUAACAUCCCCCCCUAUGAUAUUAUGACGUUGCUUUUGUAAUAUUACUUAAUUUUGAACUACUAUUUUUUCCUCAAUUUAUUUUUGCCUCAAUAACUAGUACAAGACUGGCUUUUCUUAUGUUGCAGUAGCAACGGAAGCCUCGCUCUGACAUCGGGUUCUGUCGAACAAAACCUCGGCAGUGCAGGCAAGUACCCAGUGUUGUGUUAAUGUGCGAUGUCCAUCGUAAAAGGAUUUUCCAAUCAAUCCGCCGAGGCAAAUAAUGUGCCAAGAGAGAUAAUCCGCGGAAAAUUAAAGUACUGUAAUGGCUUGCCGUGUAGGCAAGGAGUGAAUACCGCUACAGUAUUUCAUAUAGCAACUUUCUACCGACAGUCGUAGGCCAGAAGACAAGGACCCACCUCAGACUAAAUACCAACAAUAAUUUCUUUUGUCCAAUUUAGAAAUCAUCAAAACGAAUUGGCCUAGCAUAACCCGACAGUGGCCUUGAGAUGCCACAAGACGGCAGCAAAGACAUGAAGUUCCUCAACUCACUUGCGUUUGUUUGAUGCCACCAGAUGGCGCCAAAGUAACACCAUUCACUUUUUUGUGCAAUCAUCUAUCGCAUACAAAAUAUAAUAUCUCUGAUAUUGUGUUGAAACCUUUGUUUGAAUGUGGUUUUUAUCCCGCCACCACCCCUAAAAAAAUAAUUUCUAUUGGUCAGUCCCCAAGUGGAUAUGUUAUUUUUAUGUACAAAUUAUUGACCAAUGUGAAGUGUUGAAAAUGGCCUGCUCUGUAUGAAGAUGUUAUGUUAAUGGAAUCGACAUACAUGCCUUUAUCUCUUCCCCCCCCCCCUAAAAUCUCUGGAGAUGAUAUAAUGCUAACAACUCACUUAUUUGAAUAACUAUUUUUUUUGUGUGUCAUAAUAUAUCGCUCAUUGGUGUGUGAAUUUGUGACUCUGCAGGGUCGACUAUAACGACGAUUAAUUUGAGCUAUAAACCUGCUUGGGUAACGAAUUAAACUCAUAAAUAUGCCACUGAAGUACUUUUUGCUCUUUUUUUUUUUUUUUUUUUUUAAAUGCCAUGAAAUGUUUCUACUGUCAAAUGUGUAUGUGCCCUGGCUCAGUUCAAGGCCGGGAAACACUGCAGUACGGUGCACAUGUACACGGUUCUCUGCAGCUCCGCUCCUUGAGUGAAUUUGCGCAUCGACCGAAACGCACUCACAUGCUCCGGUCCCUGGAAGCAGAUCCUGCACACGGGCGUCCUGAAGCCGCUUUCCGUGUAGCUGGUGAGGGAGAACCU
Long non-coding RNA from Syngnathoides biaculeatus (alligator pipefish), 3287 nucleotides. RefSeq lists it as uncharacterized. The transcript has 4 exons. NCBI's taxonomy places the organism in Eukaryota, Metazoa, Chordata, Actinopteri, Syngnathiformes, Syngnathidae. The record is from RefSeq and is a predicted model, not a curated record.